UACGGAGGGUGCGAGCGUUGUCCGGAAUUACUGGGCGUAAAGCGCACGUAGGCGGCUUUGCAAGUCAGAGGUGAAAGCCCGGGGCUCAACCCCGGAAUUGCCUUUGAGACUGCAUCGCUAGAAUUGUGGAGAGGUAAGUGGAAUUCCGAGUGUAGAGGUGAAAUUCGUAGAUAUUCGGAAGAACACCAGUGGCGAAGGCGACUUCCUGGCCUGUUCUUGACGCUGAGGCGCGAAAGCUAGGGUAGCAAACGGG
Molecule: ribosomal RNA, 253 nt
Filed under: uncultured bacterium
Lineage: Bacteria
Description: partial 16S ribosomal RNA
Rfam family: Bacterial small subunit ribosomal RNA
Source: RNAcentral